CCUACGGGUGGCAGCAGUGGGGGAUAUUGCACAAUGGGGGAAACCCUGAUGCAGCGACGCCGCGUGUGGGAAGACGGUCCUCUGGAUUGUAAACCACUGUCCCCAGGGACGAAGAUGACGGUACCUGGGGAGGAAGCUCCGGCUAACUACGUGCCAGCAGCCGCGGUAAUACGUAGGGAGCGAGCGUUGUCCGGAAUUACUGGGUGUAAGGGGAGCGUAGGCGGGACUGCAAGUUGGGUGUCAAAUCUACCGGCUCAACCGGUAGCCGCACUCAAAACUGCAGUUGUUGAGUGAAGUAGAGGCAGGCGGAAUUCCUAGUGUAGCGGUGAAAUGCGUAGAUAUUAGGAGGAACACCAGUGGCGAAGGCGGCCUGCUGGGCUUUUACUGACGCUGAGGCUCGAAAGUGUGGGGAGCAAACAGGAUUAGAUACCCCAGUAGUC
Molecule: ribosomal RNA, 440 nt
Filed under: uncultured bacterium
Lineage: Bacteria
Description: partial 16S ribosomal RNA
Rfam family: Bacterial small subunit ribosomal RNA
Source: RNAcentral